RNAcentral lists this ribosomal RNA (404 nucleotides) under uncultured Eubacteriales bacterium. RNAcentral describes it as "bacterial SSU rRNA". It matches the Rfam family "Bacterial small subunit ribosomal RNA", at positions 378 to 774 of the family's 1533-position model. The record is from RNAcentral. Lineage: Bacteria; Bacillati; Bacillota; Clostridia; Eubacteriales.
AAAGUCUGACCGAGCAACGCCGCGUGAGUGAAGAAGGUUUUCGGAUCGUAAAACUCUGUUGUUAGAGAAGAACAAGGAUGAGAGUAGAACGUUCAUCCCUUGACGGUACCUUAGGAGGAAGCCCCGGCUAACUACGUGCCAGCAGCCGCGGUAAUACGUAGGGGGCGAGCGUUGUCCGGAUUUACUGGGCGUAAAGGGUGCGUAGGCGGCCUUGUAAGUCAGAUGUGAAAGGCUACGGCUCAACCGUAGUAAGCAUUGGAAACUGCAGGGCUUGAGUGCAGGAGAGGAGAGUGGAAUUCCUAGUGUAGCGGUGAAAUGCGUAGAUAUUAGGAGGAACACCAGUGGCGAAGGCGACUCUCUGGACUGUAACUGACGCUGAGGCACGAAAGCGUGGGGAGCAAACA